GCAGGAUCAACCAGGUAGCAUUCCUCACGGACGCCGGCGUAGCACGAGGAUGACGAAACCCUAGGGAUACGUCACCUCAAGGCAACAACGGCAGUCGUUAGGCAACGAGCGAUGUACGCUUGUUUUCGGGCAAAUAGGGAUCAUCGACAUCCUACCCUCCGCGUAUUCAGCAUCCAAGAGCUCAAGCAAUAAUUCGAGAGCCGUGGCAACAACACGUUACGAGCGUACACGGGACACAAAAAUUGCUUCGAGGUUCACCCGAUGCCGCACCCGUAAAGGGCAGCACAAGGCGAACAUUCAACGAUCCGACAUGCAAAUUCCAACUCGUAGGGUAUGCAAAACAGGAAACCAACACAAGGCCAAGGCCACAUUGC
RNAcentral lists this unclassified non-coding RNA (374 nucleotides) under Cinchona pubescens (red cinchona). Its description in RNAcentral is "partial external transcribed spacer". The record is from RNAcentral. Lineage: Eukaryota; Viridiplantae; Streptophyta; Magnoliopsida; Gentianales; Rubiaceae.